Molecule: non-coding RNA, 73 nt
Organism: Onthophagus taurus
Lineage: Eukaryota; Metazoa; Arthropoda; Insecta; Coleoptera; Scarabaeidae
Source: RefSeq, a predicted model, not a curated record
GUUCUAGGUCUAGUAUUAGUUCUAGUUUUAGUGCAAUAAAAAUAUACAACAUAGUGGCAUCUAGCAACAUCAU